CCUACGGGAGGCAGCAGUGGGGGAUAUUGCACAAUGGGGGAAACCCUGAUGCAGCGACGCCGCGUUGGCGAAGAAGUAUUUCGGUAUGUAAAGCCCUAUCAGCAGGGAAGAAGAAAUUACGGUACCUGAGUACGAAGCACCGGCUAAAUACGUGCCAGCAGCCGCUGUCAUACGUAUGGUGCAAGCUGUAUCCGGAUUUACUGGGGGUAAAGGGAGCGCAGGCGGCACGGCAAGCCUGAUGUGAAAGCCCGCGGCCCAACCGCGGGACUGAAGUGGGAACUACCGGGCUGGAGUGCCGGAGAGGUAGGCGGAAUUCCUAGUGUAGCGGUGAAAUGCGUAGAUAUUAGGAGGAACACCAGUGGCGAAGGCGGCCUACUGGACGGUGACUGACGCUGAGGCUCGAAAGCGUGGGGAGCAAACAGGAUUAGAUACCCCAGUAGUC
RNAcentral lists this ribosomal RNA (442 nucleotides) under uncultured bacterium. RNAcentral describes it as "partial 16S ribosomal RNA". It matches the Rfam family "Bacterial small subunit ribosomal RNA", at positions 338 to 795 of the family's 1533-position model. The record is from RNAcentral.